GACACCAUAGCUCAGUUGGUUAGAGCAUCGGAUUGUGGUUCCGAGGGUCGUGGGUUCGAGCCCCAUUGGUGUCC
RNAcentral lists this transfer RNA (74 nucleotides) under Sphingobacteriales bacterium. Its description in RNAcentral is "tRNA-His". It matches the Rfam family "tRNA". Rfam says of the family: Transfer RNA (tRNA) molecules are approximately 80 nucleotides in length. The record is from RNAcentral. Lineage: Bacteria; Pseudomonadati; Bacteroidota; Sphingobacteriia; Sphingobacteriales.